RNAcentral lists this ribosomal RNA (499 nucleotides) under uncultured bacterium. RNAcentral's name for it is "bacterial SSU rRNA". It matches the Rfam family "Bacterial small subunit ribosomal RNA", at positions 31 to 507 of the family's 1533-position model. The record is from RNAcentral.
GAACGCUAGCGGCAGGACUUAAACAUGCUAAGGUUGGAGGGGCAGCAUGAUAUACGGCGAGUAUAUUGAUGGGCGACCGGCGGACGGGUGAAGUAAUAGGGUAGGAGACCUACCUCAUACAGGGGGAUAGCAUAGAGAAAUCUGUGGUAAUACCCCAUGAGGUUAUAUGAAUAGAGGCAUAUAAUCAAAGCAUAAGCGAUUAUGCGGUAUGAGAGGGGCCUACUGACCAUUAGCUAGUUGGUGAGGUAAGGGCUCACCAAGGCGAAGAUGGUUAGGGGUUUUGAGAGAGAGACCCCCCACAUUGGAACUGAGAGACGGUCCAGACUCCUACGGGAGGCAGCAGUAGGGAAUAUUGGGCAAUGGGCGAAAGCCUGACCCAGCCAUGCCGCGUGAAGGAAGACGGCCUUAUGGGUUGUAAACUUCUUUACUACGCGAAUAGAGGUUAGUACGAGAUACUAAUAGGAAGGUAGUGUAGUAAAAAGCACCGGCUAACUCCGUG